Molecule: microRNA, 24 nt
Filed under: Vriesea carinata
Lineage: Eukaryota; Viridiplantae; Streptophyta; Magnoliopsida; Poales; Bromeliaceae
Description: vca-miR10202b-5p
Source: miRBase by way of RNAcentral
UAAUAACUCGUUGGGUUCAAACCA